CAUUACUGAAGUGGCUCAAAGAUGUUGCUGGCCUUCUCUCUUAGGCAAUGUGCACUCUUUGAACUCAUCCCAUCCACACCCCUUUGUGCACUUCUUGUAGGGCCUCCUCCUCCUCCCGCCAGGGGGGAGGGUUAGUUGUCCCUAUGUCUUGCUUCAUGUCACACACGCUCUUGAAUGUGCAUGUAUGGUUUUUAUAUAAAAAAAGAGAAAACAACCUUCGACAAUGGAUCUCUUGGCUCUCGCAUCGAUGAAGAACGCAGCGAAAUGCGAUACGUAAUGUGAAUUGCAGAAUUCCGUGAAUCAUCGAAUCUUUGAACGCACCUUGCGCCUCUUGGUAUUCCGAGGGGCAUGCCUGUUUGAGUGUCAUUGAAACAUCAAAGAGAAGCUUUCUUUGUCUGGGCUUCUUUUUGGAUAUUGGAGUGUUGCUGGGCUUCCUUUUUAAGGAUGGGUCAGCUCCUCUUAAAUGGAUUAGCGAAGAGAUUGAUCUCUCCAUGCUUUGCUUCUGGCAUUGAUAAUGAUCAUUUUCAUGUCUGAGCUUAGGCAAUGUUUUUUUUUGAGAGUUUUGAUCUCCUAGCUUCAAAAUUGUCUGCCUUGGAGACGAGAUGCUUUUUGACAACUUNNCCUCAAAUCAGGUAGGACUACCC
Molecule: ribosomal RNA, 644 nt
Filed under: uncultured Basidiomycota
Lineage: Eukaryota; Fungi; Basidiomycota
Description: eukaryotic LSU rRNA
Rfam family: 5.8S ribosomal RNA (bases 213-366)
Source: RNAcentral